UACGUAGGGUGCGAGCGUUGUCCGGAAUUACUGGGCGUAAAGAGCUCGUAGGUGGUUUGUCGCGUCGUUCGUGAAAACUCACAACUCAAUUGUGGGCGUGCGGGCGAUACGGGCAGACUGGAGUACUGCAGGGGAGACUGGAAUUCCUGGUGUAGCGGUGGAAUGCGCAGAUAUCAGGAGGAACACCGGUGGCGAAGGCGGGUCUCUGGGCAGUAACUGACGCUGAGGAGCGAAAGCGUGGGGAGCGAACAGG
This 253-nucleotide ribosomal RNA is filed under the name uncultured bacterium. RNAcentral's name for it is "partial 16S ribosomal RNA". It matches the Rfam family "Bacterial small subunit ribosomal RNA", at positions 524 to 776 of the family's 1533-position model. The record is from RNAcentral.